AACGAACGCUGGCGGCAUGCCUAACACAUGCAAGUCGAACGAGACCUUCGGGUCUAGUGGCGCACGGGUGCGUAACGCGUGGGAACCUGCCCUUAGGUUCGGAAUAACUCCCCGAAAGGGGUGCUAAUACCGGAUAAUGUCUUCGGACCAAAGAUUUAUCGCCUUUGGAUGGGCCCGCGUUGGAUUAGCUAGUUGGUAGGGUAAAAGCCUACCAAGGCGACGAUCCAUAGCUGGUCUGAGAGGAUGAUCAGCCACACUGGGACUGAGACACGGCCCAGACUCCUACGGGAGGGAGGAGUGGGGGAUAUUGGAACAUGGGGGGAAGGCUGAUCCCGGAAUGCCGGGGGAGUGAUUAAGGGCUUAGGGUUGUAAAGGUCUUUUACCCGGGAUGAUAAUGACAGUACCGGGAGAAUAAGCCCCGGCUAACUCCGUG
Molecule: ribosomal RNA, 433 nt
Filed under: uncultured bacterium
Lineage: Bacteria
Description: partial 16S ribosomal RNA
Rfam family: Bacterial small subunit ribosomal RNA
Source: RNAcentral